RNAcentral lists this small RNA (283 nucleotides) under Drosophila mojavensis. RNAcentral's name for it is "GI26504". The record is from RNAcentral. Lineage: Eukaryota; Metazoa; Arthropoda; Insecta; Diptera; Drosophilidae.
CGCAAGUACAAUUGAGUAAGUGACGAUGCAUCCCUGGCUUAGUGCCUAUCGGAGUGCAUAAUCAAAACAAAACGAAACAAAAACAGCUGACUGAAAAUUGCAUUAAAUGCAAAUUUGAUGCUGCUAAUUGCUGCAAUUAUACAAAAUGCAGAGGGGCGCAAAUACUGAAGAUUGCGAGAUUGCAUUAACUGCAAGCUGACUAGCAGAGCUGCUGCCAUACAAAGUACAGAGGGGCGCAAAACUGGAAAUAGCAGAAAUGCACUAAUUGCAAGCUGACUAGCAG